GGACCUCGGAUCAGGUAGGGAUACCCGCUGAACUUCAGCAUAUCAAUAAGCGGAGGA
RNAcentral lists this ribosomal RNA (57 nucleotides) under Geoglossum simile. RNAcentral describes it as "partial 28S ribosomal RNA". The record is from RNAcentral. Lineage: Eukaryota; Fungi; Ascomycota; Geoglossomycetes; Geoglossales; Geoglossaceae.